Non-coding RNA from Chlorocebus sabaeus (green monkey), 3670 nucleotides. The record is from RefSeq and is a predicted model, not a curated record. NCBI's taxonomy places the organism in Eukaryota, Metazoa, Chordata, Mammalia, Primates, Cercopithecidae.
UACGGAGAGAACGCGACCUGGAGAUACCGGGGGCGUUGUCUGGGGCACGAUUGCGUAGGGGCAAAGGUCGAGUACCCGCACUGCCGCCAUUUUUUAUGAGGGCAUAUUCCAUUUCUGAUUAUACACCCGCUGCCAUUGGCACCGUUAGUUUCCAUGCUCUCUAGUGCGCCCUCAGGGGCCCUAGUGACCUUCUUCCUUCCCUUGGGCCUGGCUGGGUAGGCUUUCUCGGACGCAGGAGGUUCCGUAGGCCCAGGCCAGGCCAAGGGGAGGCAGCCGAGCCGUAGUCGGGGUUGACAGUCACCAUGGCGCCGCCUCUGGCCCCGCUCCCUCCCCGGGACCCAAACAGGGUCGGACCCGAGUGGAGGGAGCCGGGGGUUGUGAGCUUCGCGGACGUGGCCGUGUACUUCUGCCGGGAGGAGUGGGGCUGCUUGCGACCAGCACAGAGGGCCCUGUACCGGGACGUGAUGCGGGAGACCUACGGCCACCUGAGCGCGCUCGGAAUCGGAGGCAACAAGCCAGCUCUCAUCUCCUGGGUGGAGGAGGAGGCCGAACUGUGGGGCCCAGCUGCCCGGGAUCCGGAGGUGACCAAGUGUCCGACAGAAGCGGACCCAGCAGAUUCCAGAAACAAGGAAGAGGAAAGACAAAGGGAAGGGAUGGGAGCCCUGGAGAAGCCUGUCCCUGUGGCCACCGGGUCUCCUGGACUGAAGGCUCCCCAAGACCCCUCGGCCGGGCCCCCUUAUGUUUGGGAGCAGCCGUCCAAGGCACCGCACCGAGGACGCCCCUCACUCUGUGCCCACCCCCCUGUCCCCCGAGCGGACCAGCGUCACGGCUGCUACGUGUGCGGGAAGAGCUUCGCCUGGCGCUCCACACUGGUGGAGCACGUCUACAGCCACACUGGCGAGAAACCCUUCCACUGCACUGACUGCGGCAAGGGUUUCGGCCACGCUUCCUCCCUGAGCAAACACCGGGCCAUCCAUCGCGGGGAGCGGCCUCACCGCUGUCCCGAGUGUGGCCGGGCCUUCACGCAGCGCUCAGCACUGACUUCGCACCUGCGCGUCCACACCGGCGAGAAGCCCUAUGGCUGCGCCGACUGUGGCCGCCGCUUCAGCCAGAGCUCUGCCCUCUACCAGCACCGGCGUGUGCACAGCGGCGAGACCCCCUUCCCCUGCCCGGACUGUGGCCGCGCCUUCGCCUACCCCUCGGACCUACGGCGCCACGUGCGCACCCACACCGGCGAGAAGCCCUACCCGUGCCCGGACUGCGGACGCUGCUUCCGCCAGAGCUCAGAGAUGGCAGCCCACAGGCGCACCCACAGCGGCGAGAAGCCCUACCCCUGCCCGCAGUGUGGCCGCUGCUUCGGCCAGAAAUCAGCCGUGGCCAAGCACCAGUGGGUUCAUAGGCCCGGGGCCAGGGGCCACAAGGGCCGGGUCACCGGGGGUCUGCCUGUGACCCUGACCCCUGGCCCUGGAGAUCUGGAACCGCCCGUGGGCUUCCAGCUGUACCCGGAGAUAUUCCAGGAGUGUGGGUGACGGCCUUAAAAGUGACUAGACAUUACAGAGGCCCGAGAUGGGCUCAGGGGCCCGAACCUCUGCGGCGGCCUGCAGGGAGGUCCCAGAAUCUACAAGACCCGGCCCUGGGGUGCGGACAGCCUGAUCUUGGACCCUCAGCAGCCUCCUCUGCCAGCACCUUGCUCUCAACUGCCCAGGGGUCUCGAAGGCCACCUUUACUGAGGCAGGGCUGAGUGCUGCUGGGUUAGGGUCUCCCCAACCGAGCUGGUCUCGGCAAGUGCCAUCCAUCGUUGGGGCUCGAAUCCAGGUCGAAGGGUUGCCGGAGCAACAGUUGGAACAGAAAACCAGCUGGAGGACACCCGAGUACUCUUAAAGCAAUCCCCCUGGUGAGUAAGAAGGGGAUCUUGGAAGCAUCAGGGUAACAAUGGGACAGGUAUGGGGUCUGGUUCAUUUCACCUUGGAGCUUUUUCACACUGAUAAUGAGGAGGAACCAGUAGAGCGAAGUAACACAAGAGGUUACAGAGCAUGUUUAUUUACCAGCUAAAGCUAAAGUGGCAAAGGAAGGAGAGGUUCAUCCCUACCCUUCUGCACCCUCCAGAUCUUUCUUAUUAUUUUGAAGAAAAUGACCCUCCAGAUCUUUCUUUUCUGGAGUACACUGGGCGAAAAGUAGUUGCCCCAGUGACUGUUCGAGCAGUGCCUCAAGCGACCGCUCUUAGUUCUAUUCAGGCAGGAAUUCAGCAAGCUAGACUAGAGGGUGAUUUGGAGGCUUGGCAGUUCCCUGUUAGAAUAUACCCCCCAGGUCAACAGGGAAAUAUAGCUACAUUUGAGCCUUUUCCUUUUAAAUUCGGGAAAGCACAUUUAGUUGAUUAUAUCAAGGCCUGUGAUGGUAUUGGAGGUAAUCUGCAUAAAGCUACUUUGUUGGCACAGGUAAUGGCAGGACUGAGAGUGGAUAAAGGAAAUAUUCCAUUUCCAGGAGCUUGUUUUAACUGUGGGAAGCAUGGUCAUACUAAAAAAGAAUGUAGAAAAAAUCAGCGAGUCAGGCUGCCAGAUAGGGGAAAAAAGAAAACUGUUGAGCGUGAAAUAUGUCCAAAAUGUAAAAAAGGAAAACAUUGGGCUAGUCAGCAUCACUCUUAAGUUUGAUAAAGAAGGGGACCUGAUUUCGGGAGACGCCGUGAGGGGCCCGUCCCGGGCCCCAUUCUAAACCGGGGCAUUUCCAGCUCAGGCCAUUCCCUUACCCCUGUACAAUGUCUGUCCCCCACCACAGCCAGUAGUGCCACAGUAGAUUUAUGGUGCACAAAAGCUGUGAGCUUUCUUCCUGGGGAACCCCUGCAAAAGGUCCCAACAGGAGUCUGUGGACCCUUGCCAGCAGAGACCAGACUUUUGGGAAGGUCUAGUGUAAAUUUAAAAGGGGUACAAAUACAUACAGGAGUCAUUGGUUCAGAUUACAAUGGGGAAAUUCAAAUUGUUACACCUACUUCUGUUCCCUGGAAAGCAGAGCCAGGAGAGCGCAUAGCACAGCCCCUGAUUGUGCCAUAUGUGGGAAUUGGGAAAAGUGAAAUUAAAUGAACAGGAGGAUUUGGAAGCACAAAUAAACAAGGCAAAGCAGCUUAUUGGGUGAAUCAAAUUACUGAUAAACGUCCUACCUGUGAAAUAACUAUUCAAGGAAAGAAAUUUAAAAGUUUGGUAGAUACAGGAAUGGACAUUUCAAUCAUUUCUCUACAGCACUGACCAUCCACAUGGCCAAUUCAACCUGCUCAAUUUAACAUAGCUGGAGUUGGUAAAGCCGCUGAAGUAUAUCAAAGUAGUUAUAUUUUGCAUUGUGAAGGGCCUGAUAGACAACCUGGGACUAUUCAACCAAUUAUAACUUCUGUACCUAUAAAUUUAUGGGGAAGACAUUUAUUAUAACAAUCGGGAGCACAAGUUCUAAUUCCAGAGCAUUUAUAUAACCCUCAAAGUCAACAUACAAUGCAUGAAAUGGAGUAUGUCCCUGGUAUGGGACUAGAAAAAAAUUUGCAAGGUUUGAAAGAACCAAUUCAAGCAGGCAAACAAAGUUCCCGCCAAAGAUUAGGAAAUAGUUUUUGAUGGCAGCCAUUGUUAAGCCUCCAGAACCUAUACCUUUAAAAUGGUUAACAGAUAAGCCAAUUUGGAUAGAACAAUGGCCA